This 163-nucleotide unclassified non-coding RNA is filed under the name uncultured Sordariomycetes. Its description in RNAcentral is "sequence contains ITS1". The record is from RNAcentral. Lineage: Eukaryota; Fungi; Ascomycota; Sordariomycetes.
UCGAGUCUAAACAACUCCCAAACCCAUGUGAACUUACCACUUUGUUGCCUCGGCGGGGCAACUUACCCGGAAGCUGCUUCGGCAGACAAUGGGUGAGCCCGCCGGCGGACCACUAAACUCUUGUUUAUUUUUGAUAAUCUGAAUUUUAAAACUUAAUAAGUUA